Molecule: ribosomal RNA, 613 nt
Filed under: uncultured bacterium
Lineage: Bacteria
Description: bacterial SSU rRNA
Rfam family: Bacterial small subunit ribosomal RNA
Source: RNAcentral
CCUACGGGAGGCAGCAGUGGGGAAUUUUGGACAAUGGGCGCAAGCCUGAUCCAGCCAUGCCGCGUGUGGGAAGAAGGCCUUCGGGUUGUAAACCACUUUUGUCAGGGAAGAAACGGCUUUUUCUAAUACAGAGAGCUAAUGACGGUACCUGAAGAAUAAGCACCGGCUAACUACGUGCCAGCAGCCGCGGUAAUACGUAGGGUGCAAGCGUUAAUCGGAAUUACUGGGCGUAAAGCGUGCGCAGGCGGCUUUGCAAGACAGAUGUGAAAUCCCCGGGCUCAACCUGGGAACUGCAUUUGUGACUGCAUGGCUAGAGUACGGUAGAGGGGGAUGGAAUUCCGCGUGUAGCAGUGAAAUGCGUAGAUAUGCGGAGGAACACCGGAUGGCGAAGGCAAUCCCCUGGACCUGUACUGACGCUCAUGCACGAAAGCGUGGGGAGCAAACAGGAUUAGAUACCCUGGUAGUCCACGCCCUAAACGAUGUCAACUGGUUGUUGGACGGCUUGCUGUUCAGUACGAAGCUAACGCGUGAAGUUGACCGCCUGGGGAGUCGGCCGCAAGGUUGAACUUAAAUGAUUGNGNGNGNGAGNGCGAGGCGACGACGAGGGAGGAGG